Molecule: unclassified non-coding RNA, 269 nt
Filed under: Hevea brasiliensis (rubber tree)
Lineage: Eukaryota; Viridiplantae; Streptophyta; Magnoliopsida; Malpighiales; Euphorbiaceae
Source: RNAcentral
AGGAAUUUUCUUUCCAGAUGCCUUUUCAAAAGCUGCAACCAUCUCCAAAACCGAUGUACCCUUUCCAGUUCCCAAGUUGUAAACUUCACAACCUAUACCAGCCACAUCUAACUUGCGCAAUGCAGCAAUGUGUCCAUCAGCUAAAUCAACAACAUGAAUAUAAUCACGUACUCCGGUUCCAUCUUUUGUUGAAUAGUCGGUUCCAAAGACUGUCAAGGCAGGACGCCUGCCGACAGCAACUUGUUGUACAAAGGGCAUGAGGUUGUUUG